UUUAAUUCGAAGCAACGCGAAGAACCUUACCAGGUCUUGACAUCCCUCUGACCGCUCUAGAGAUAGAGCUUUCCUUCGGGACAGAGGUGACAGGUGGUGCAUGGUUGUCGUCAGCUCGUGUCGUGAGAUGUUGGGUUAAGUCCCGCAACGAGCGCAACCCCUAUUGUUAGUUGCCAUCAUUGAGUUGGGCACUCUAGCGAGACUGCCGGUAAUAAACCGGAGGAAGGUGGGGAUGACGUCAAAUCAUCAUGCCCCUUAUGACCUGGGCUACACACGUGCUACAAUGGCUGGUACAACGAGUCGCAAGCCGGUGACGGCAAGCUAAUCUCUUAAAGCCAGUCUCAGUUCGGAUUGUAGGCUGCAACUCGCCUACAUGAAGUCGGAAUCGCUAGUAAUCGCGGAUCAGCACGCCG
This 413-nucleotide ribosomal RNA is filed under the name uncultured bacterium. RNAcentral's name for it is "bacterial SSU rRNA". It matches the Rfam family "Bacterial small subunit ribosomal RNA", at positions 945 to 1359 of the family's 1533-position model. RNAcentral also lists the same sequence under 1 other name. The record is from RNAcentral.